Acanthosepion pharaonis is the source of this 113-nucleotide non-coding RNA. The record is from the annotation of a GenBank genome assembly. Lineage: Eukaryota; Metazoa; Mollusca; Cephalopoda; Sepiida; Sepiidae.
UUACGGCCACAUCACGUUGAAACUCCGGUUCCCGUAUGAUCACCGAAGUUAAGACAACUUCAAGACUAGUCAGUACCUAGAUCAGUGACCGGUUUGGAAUAUCAGGUGUUGUU